Molecule: ribosomal RNA, 438 nt
Filed under: uncultured bacterium
Lineage: Bacteria
Description: bacterial SSU rRNA
Rfam family: Bacterial small subunit ribosomal RNA
Source: RNAcentral
AACGCGAAGAACCUUACCCAGUCUUGACAUGCAUAGGACGUAUCCAGAGAUGGAUAUUCCCUUCGGGGCCUAUGCACAGGUGCUGCAUGGCUGUCGUCAGCUCGUGCCGUGAGGUGUUUGGUUAAGUCCAGCAACGAGCGCAACCCUUAUCACUAGUUGCCAACAUUUAAGGUGGGAACUCUAGUGAGACUGCCUGGGUUAACCAGGAGGAAGGCGAGGAUGAUGUCAAGUCCGCAUGGCCCUUAUGUCUGGGGCUACACACGUGCUACAAUGGCCGAUACAGAAGGCAGCGAAGUCGCAAGAUGGAGCAAAUCCCAAAAGUCGGCCCCAGUUCAGAUUGCAGUCUGCAACUCGACUGCAUGAAGAUGGAAUUGCUAGUAAUGGCGAGUCAGCUACAUCGCCGUGAAUACGUUCCCGGGCCUUGUACACACCGGAGUA